Molecule: ribosomal RNA, 253 nt
Filed under: uncultured bacterium
Lineage: Bacteria
Description: partial 16S ribosomal RNA
Rfam family: Bacterial small subunit ribosomal RNA
Source: RNAcentral
UACGUAGGGUGCGAGCGUUGUCCGGAAUUAUUGGGCGUAAAGAGCUCGUAGGCGGUUUGUCGCGUCUGCUGUGAAAUCCCGAGGCUCAACCUCGGGCCUGCAGUGGGUACGGGCAGACUGGAGUGCGGUAGGGGAGAAUGGAACUCCUGGUGUAGCGGUGGAAUGCGCAGAUAUCAGGAAGAACACCCGUGGCUAAGGCGGCUCUCUAGUACGGUACUGACGCUGAGACGCGAAAGCGUGGGGAGCGAACAGG